AAAGCAAAGAUUUCAGAAGAAGAAAUAUUUGCAGAGUGGCCUGCACCUCCAACCAAAGAUGACGACACGUUUUAGCCUCUACGGAUAUGUCAUGCAUAGAUUUGUACAAAACGUCUGCAUCUGCAGAACUGCUGCCGUCACAAUGUCAACU
Molecule: long non-coding RNA, 151 nt
Organism: Salarias fasciatus (jewelled blenny)
Lineage: Eukaryota; Metazoa; Chordata; Actinopteri; Blenniiformes; Blenniidae
Exons: 3
Source: RefSeq, a predicted model, not a curated record